CCUGUGGGUGCAUGUGUAUUUGCCAUGGAAAUGCCUGUUUAAAAAAUUACUACUAAGAUGAGCAGAACACAGAUGAAAAUUAUUACCAGUCCCUCAGGAAGAGAAGUCACAUUCUUUUUGCUGUUACUUUGAACGAAGGAAAGAAGAGAUCUAGACACAAGAUCAGGGCAUGGCAAAGUGGAGGCUGCCCUGUCCUGGAUUAUGUGGAGAAAGCCACAUAAUGACAGAGGCAGAGUUGAAGUAAUGCAUUUACAAGCAGAAAAUUGCCAAGGACUGCUGGUAACACCAGAAGCUGAGAGAAAACUUCAUGGAUCAGAUUCUUUCCUAGAGCCUUCAGAGAGAGCAUGGUGCUGUCAAAACCUUGAUUUUGGAUUUCUAGGCUUUAAAACUAUGAAAGAAUAAAUGUCUGUUGCUUAAAGUCA
This is a long non-coding RNA of Canis lupus familiaris (dog), 422 nucleotides long. RefSeq lists it as uncharacterized. The transcript is spliced from 2 exons. Lineage: Eukaryota; Metazoa; Chordata; Mammalia; Carnivora; Canidae. The record is from RefSeq and is a predicted model, not a curated record.